Molecule: ribosomal RNA, 449 nt
Filed under: uncultured bacterium
Lineage: Bacteria
Description: bacterial SSU rRNA
Rfam family: Bacterial small subunit ribosomal RNA
Source: RNAcentral
GACGAACGCUGGCGGUGUGCUUCACACAUGCAAGUCGAACGGGGUAGCAAUACCAGUGGCGGACGGGUGAGUAACACGUAGGAAUCUGCCUCAGAGUGGGGAAUAACUGAUCGAAAGAUUAGCUAAUACCGCAUAUGUCGAAAGAUAAAAGGAGUAAUCCGCUUUGAGAUGAGCCUGCGUCCGAUUAGCUAGUUGGUAAGGUAAAGGCCUACCAAGGCGACGAUCGGUAGCUGGUCUGAGAGGAUGAUCAGCCACAAUGGAACUGAGACACGGUCCAUACUCCUACGGGAGGCAGCAGUGGGGAAUUUUACGCAAUGGGGGAAACCCUGACGUAGCGACACCGCGUGAGCGAAGAAGCCCUUUGGGGUGUAAAGCUCUGUUAGCAGGGACGAAUAAAUGACGGUACCUGCAGAGGAAGCAUCGGCUAACUACGUGCCAGCAGCCGCGGU